This 207-nucleotide ribosomal RNA is filed under the name Clostridioides difficile. Its description in RNAcentral is "partial 23S ribosomal RNA". It matches the Rfam family "Bacterial large subunit ribosomal RNA", at positions 1244 to 1451 of the family's 2925-position model. The record is from RNAcentral. Lineage: Bacteria; Bacillati; Bacillota; Clostridia; Peptostreptococcales; Peptostreptococcaceae.
UACGGGUUGAAGCAUGACCGUAAGGACAUGUGGACAGUAUGGGAGUGAGAAUGUUGGCAUGAGUAGCGAGAUGUGGGUGAGAAUCCCACAGGCCGUAAACCCAAGGUUUCCAGGGGAAGGUUCGUCCACCCUGGGUUAGUCGGGACCUAAGCUGAGGCCGAAAGGCGUAGGUGAUGGACAACAGGUUGAUAUUCCUGUACUACCGAU